UACAGAGGGGGCAAGCGUUGUUCGGAAUUAUUGGGCGUAAAGGGUGCGUAGGCGGUGCGGUAAGUCUUCUGUGAAAUCUCCGGGCUCAACUCGGAGCCUGCAGGAGAAACUGCCGUGCUUGAGUAUGGGAGAGGUGAGUGGAAUUCCUGGUGUAGCGGUGAAAUGCGUAGAUAUCAAGGAGGGAACACCCUGUGGCGAAAGCGGCUCACUGGAC
This 214-nucleotide ribosomal RNA is filed under the name uncultured bacterium. RNAcentral's name for it is "partial 16S ribosomal RNA". It matches the Rfam family "Bacterial small subunit ribosomal RNA", at positions 524 to 734 of the family's 1533-position model. The record is from RNAcentral.